AUGACAACCACAUCUGUUGUUGUGAGGACUACAUCACCUCCACCAUAUGACACAUCACCCCCGAGAGCGCCUAUAUUAUCUGAGUUGAUCAUAAGUGGCAAUGACAAAGCCACAUUUCAGAUUAAGCAACGCCGAGGACGACUUUGUUUUCAAGAAGGGGAGGAUGAUGAGGACAUGGCCACCACAGUUACACCCAUAUCCCCUGCUGUUUUUCCUCUUGGAACAAUUGCUAGUUCUCAGAUAUGCCAAUUAAAUUAUCAGGUACUUUCGUUUCUUGGUAAUGUUUCUAGUGUUCAUGAGAAUAUGAUGCUGCCUAACUUAGAUACAUUUGUUUUGCUUGCAAUUGAAGGGCCUAGCACGGACAAAAAGGAUGAACAUUGGAGCCUGGUCAAGCACGGAGAUGAAGGUGCAUGCGAAGAGAACAAUAACAGAGGUUCAAGUGGAGAUUUCCGGACUUUGAAGCCAUCAUGA
Molecule: ribosomal RNA, 471 nt
Filed under: Triticum aestivum (bread wheat)
Lineage: Eukaryota; Viridiplantae; Streptophyta; Magnoliopsida; Poales; Poaceae
Description: partial small subunit ribosomal RNA
Source: RNAcentral